RNAcentral lists this transfer RNA (107 nucleotides) under groundwater metagenome. RNAcentral describes it as "tRNA-Glu". It matches the Rfam family "tRNA". Rfam says of the family: Transfer RNA (tRNA) molecules are approximately 80 nucleotides in length. Their secondary structure includes four short double-helical elements and three loops (D, anti-codon, and T loops). The record is from RNAcentral.
GCUCCGAUAGUGUAGUCGGCCAAUCAUUCUGGCCUUUCAAGUUUUAAGCGUGAUAUGCGCUGAAAUAAAGACAGCCAGUGACUCGGGUUCAAAUCCCGAUCGGAGCA